This is a long non-coding RNA of Meriones unguiculatus (Mongolian gerbil), 7655 nucleotides long. RefSeq lists it as uncharacterized. The record is from RefSeq and is a predicted model, not a curated record. The transcript has 4 exons. NCBI's taxonomy places the organism in Eukaryota, Metazoa, Chordata, Mammalia, Rodentia, Muridae.
CUCACAGGAAGACCUCCCCAGCAGUCUUUGCUGCCUGCAGAAGCUAAGCAUUCUUGCUCAUCCUACAGGAGAAACUGAAACUCAGAAUUUCUCUCUGUUACCUCUUUCUAUUAUAUGGACUCCUCAGAAAGACCAGCCUCAGGUCACCAUAACAUAUUUGACAAAGGCAGCAACACUCCCUUGACAAAAAGGCUUUCUUUGGAUUGGGGUGAAGAAAUGAUGGGUUCCUCAUGAGCGAAAUGGAGGUCUAAGACUCAAAAUUUCGGUUGAGGGGCCUUUGCUGAGAUGCAAACCUCAUAACCUGAAUGGAUGCAUGGCUGUAAUCCCUGCGCACACUCAAGAGAAAGCCAGAUCUGACUGGUGAGAAGAAUCAUGAAUUUGAGCCAAAUUCCAGGGCACUCAGUAUCUACUUUGGCACCUGAAGCAGUCAGUCAGUCCUCCCCACCCAGAGCUCUCAUCAUCCUUCGGCCUUAGGAAUUCGUGAUUGGCUGAUUAUUUCUGCUAUCACAGAGAUGGAAGGCUGAUUAAUUACCAUCGUUUGGUGCCUAUUCUUUGGAUUAACUUUCAAAACCUUAAUCAAUGUGUGGAUGUGCAGCCACGUGUGUAAUACAUGCAGACGCGCUUACACUGAAGGCACCCUCUCUUUGCUACUGCCAUAGGAACAUCUUCAGCUGCCUCUUGGAUAAUCUCGGUGUUCUUCAGAGUGUUGCCAAAAGUGUGUGGACUUGGACUUCGUGGGCUGAGAAGGAAAGGUGGCAGCAGCAGAAGCAGCUCAGGCACCAACACCUCUGUGAGCACCUCCAAUGAGAGAGCUGCACACAGUGUCUUCUGUCUCGUAGGCUGGGGCUCAGUACUUACAAAUGGAUAAUUGAUUGGUCAGGCAGCAGGUGGUAGCGCCAGUACACACCCUAACCCUUAAUCCUAGCAGGGACAGGUGGGUCUCUAUGAAUCAAGGCCAGCCUGGUUUACAGAGCUAGUUUCUGGGUAGCUAGGGCUACACGGAUAAACCCUGCCUCAAAAAAAAAAAAAAAAAAAAAAAAAAAAUAUUUAAAAUGGGUAAUUAUAAAUAAAGUAUUUUCUUGAGAUCUGGAGAAGGAAAUCUUUGGAAUCUUAAUUUAUAAUCACAGUUGAUCAGAAGGUGCAAACCUGUACUGGAAAAGGGGAGCGUUCUUAUGGGGCUGAGCCUUGCCCUGUGGAACCCAACACUACUGCUUCCAGGUAGACCAGGCCAGAAUUCUGAAGAGAAUCAGAGGCUUCCUGCGGGUGUUCCCUGGAGAAUCUACGGCAGAAUGCAUUGGCUGGGGUGUGCAGGGUGGCACAAUUGUUUUUCACUGUGAGAAGGUAGGCAGAGAAACUGAGUUGGUUUUAUUUAUUUAUUUUUCCUUACACCUUCCAGUUACUAGUCUGAGAGGAAAAAUUUAAAAACUCACACUCGGCAAAGCUGUGUUUAGCAGAGAGAUAGUACCUGUAUUUUACCCUUUAUAUUUUUAUCUUUUACACUUUUUAAGGUACUGCCUGCCCUAGACUGAGCAGGCAUGUUCUAAUCUUAAUUUGGCUCUUUUUUUGAAAGUUCUUUUUAGAUUUAUUUUAUUUUGUGUGUAUGAGUAUUUUGCCUGCAUGUUUGUAAGUAUACCACAUGCAUGCUGGGGCCUGUGGACUUGAGAAGAAGACAUCAGAUUUCCUAGAACUGGAAUUACAGGUGGUUAUGAGCCACAGUGUGGGUACUGGGAACUGAGCCUGCAUCCUCUGCAGAGCAGCAAUGUCUUUAACCACCGAGCCAUCCCUCUAUCCUCAUAAUUUGGUUCUUUAUGUAGGUGACUUCAUAGGAAGAAAAUGCUGAUGGAGCUUACUAGGCUGGCCUAGGAUGAUGUGGUGACUUUGAGUACAAGUAAAUGCAUUUUCCCAGUUUGUUCAUCAGCCUCUGUGAUGAUAUACUCUCAAGUGGGCUGACAAAUGGGGUUUUGGAGACAAGAAGGCUUCGAACCAAGGAAUACUAGCAAGGAAUGUGCCCUUUACUCUGCUGGAGGCAGGCUGUAUCUAGUUCUUCUCCGUCCUCAGUUUGCAGCCCAAGGCCUGGCCCCAGCAGAGGCUGAUUUAUCUGCACUAACAAUCCUUACUAUUAAAGCCCAUUCUAUAAUUGUAACCUCAUUUUGUAAUUAAUUUUUUAAAAAAUCACAUAAUCUAAGAUUUUUCAACUUUCAAAAAUUUAUCCAUAUCAACCUAUUAUUAUAUACACUAAUUUAAGAAAAAUUUUCAGGGUAAGCUAAGGGUUUAGCCCAGUGGUAGAACACUGGUUUAGCAUGUGCAAAGGCCUGGGAUCAAUCCCUGGAAAUGGAAAAUAUAUGUUUAAAAUUAUUUAUGUACGUGUGUGUGUACACAUACAAAAUGAACAAAUAACCAUCCAUAGAGAAAAUUUUGUUAAUAUUUUAGUAUAUACAUACUCUGGGUAAUUUUAGUAAAUAUGUACAAAUAUAUAUAUAUUACAAAAAUGGAGUUUUACCAUAAUGCAGUUUUGUACCUUGCCUUCUUUCUCUUGUUUUUGGUGGUGGAGGAGGGGCUGAGACAGCAUCUUUCUUUGUAGCCCUGGCUGGCUUAAUCUUGGCUUUGUAGCCCCAGAAGGCUCCUAAGCCUCCCAGGUGCUAGGAUCACAGACAUGUGCUAAAGCUUGCCUUUUUAAAAGCUUGACAUAGGGGCUGGAAAGAUAGUCCAGUGGUGAAGAGCAAAAUUUUCUCUAUGGAUGGUUAGAACCCUGACUAACCCAAGUUUUGGUACUAAGUGAUUUUAGAGCAACAGAAGUAUAAGAAUGGAUCUUUAAAGUAUCUGGAACAAAUGUUCCAAUGUGCCAGCAACUAUAGUUAUUUACUGAAGCCUCUCCUAGAAGCUUGGAGAACACUAAAAGCCCACUGAGUGGAGAUUCUAGGUUCAGUACAGAAGCUCAAACAGUUAAAAAAAAAAAAAAGGUGUUUGUCAAAAGAGGGCCUACUAAAAAGGAGUUGGGCACCACAUGUAAAACCUAAUCUUCUACAGUGGGAGGCCCAGAGCACAUGCCCCUCACUGGUCCUAUAAGACACAAAAUGGUGAGAGGAACACCAGCACAUCUGAAGAGUUUUGUUGUCAUUACCCUUUUCAUUGUGCCAGAUCUUAGGGCUGGAGAUGCUGCUGCUCAUUUGGAUGGAUUAAAUGUAGUGGGCUUGAUUGGGCCCCAGAGUAGAGGGGCCAGGAGGCAACACUGAAUCACUAAAGGUAAGAUGAUAGUACUUAUUGCAAUGGGUACUAUAGGCAAAGUGAUUUUUAUGGUAACAUGACUCGUAUAGACCUUUGGUACUAGCUAAUCAGUCACAAUGUUUCCAGGCUUGAAAUAGAAGAAUAAAAUCUUUAUUUUAAAAAAAUAACUUUUGGAAGUACUUUUGAUAAGUUCAACAUAUGGGGAAAAUGGGCUAUAAAGCAUUGCUAUGAUUUCAUUUUAAGUUUAAAGUGUAUCUCUUUAAAAUGAGAGAAAUGAUUUUGAAGGUUCACCUUUAGACCUCAUUUAAAUUCCUGAUUCUGCUUUUCCAGCAGUUUUGUCUUAGACAGGUUAUUUCAGCUUUCUGAGUCUUUUUCAUUCCUGAAGGAGCCCUACAUUCUCCUUUGUAAGUUUGUUUCAAACACUGGGUCAGCUUAUACAGUCCUUGGGCAACUUGGGUCUGCUCGACUCAUACACCGAUGGGCAAUGAAACCACAGGGCAGACUUGUAGGUAUUUCAGGGUUAGUUUGUUUGAAACCCAUUCUAGGAAUUCUUAUUAAAUUUGGCCUUGUUACUAAAUUUACUUCCUAGGUCUGUAAUAAUAAACUGAAGGGUCAGAAUUUAGACACAUACUUUCUAAAUCAGAAUGUGUGUAGAUGUCCGUGUUUACACUUUACAGCUCCAAAUUUAUAAUGAUUUGGUGUGGGGGUUUUCUGCUUUACAAUGGUGUAGCAGCCUUAACCUUCAGCAGACACCAUGCUUCAAGUUUCCUCAGGCUAGGUAUGUGCAGUAUGGUACUGUCUCACAUUGCUGGGCAGUAGCAGGAAGCCACAGCUUUUAGCAGCCAAUAUUUUAGAGUGUGCUGUGUUGCCAUACUACAAUGUUUGGAAGCCUAAUCACAUUAAAUAUAUUUUGAUAUGAUAUUUCAAAUUAUUAAGGGUUUAUUGGGACAUGACACCAUUGUAAAUCCAGGAAUGCUUGUAUCAUCUAGGUUGGCAUAUGUGUGAAAGAGAGUUUGGAUCCUUAACCCCUGAAUAUUUUACCCCCCCCCCCCCAUGGAGACAGCUCUCUUAUUUGAAUAGAGGGUAUAGAUGUUACUUACUGUUCUGUUUUGUUCUGUUUGUUGUUCUUCAGGCUAGUAACGUGACCCUCAUCCCUAUAACAAUCUGCAAAAUGAGCAGGUCUUCAAGUUUAAGCAGGUCCCCUGGGUCCUUUGCCCUCAGGGCUACACCUUAACUAUGUUCUGAAAGAACAGGAAAUAGAACCAAAGGAAAAAGAACCCUUCCCCUUUAGCCCUAACAGGACUGUCUCCUUCACCAACUUUAGUUAAACUCCCUUUCCCCUCUUUUACAGCAGGUCUUUACCUUGGUGUCCAUCCUCGCUGGGCCUGACUAGCCCAGGUUAGCAAGAAUCUUGCUAAGUGAGUUGUAUCUGAUCAAAUUCUUUAUCCUCCAGCCUUGUGUUUGAGUCUUCAGCUUCCUUCGGUAAGAGUCCUAUCAAAUCCACUUAGUAAAGCAACAAAAAGCUGGGUGUGGCAGUACAGACCAGAGGCAGAGGCAGGCAGAUCUUUGUGAGCUUGAGGCCAGCCUGCCGCACAUAGUGAGUUACAUGACAGUUAGGGGUAUGCAAAUAGACCCCACCUACCCUACCCCACACAAAAAAAUCAUGUCAUUUCUUAGUAAUUCUUGGAAAGUUUUUAUCCACUGACACCCUUCCUUCUCAGAGGCUGCCAAUGCCUAUCUGUCCAUAUUGUGUUCAGGGUUAAGACAGAUUGCUUCACUCACUGCAAGACAGCAUUGUGGUAUUCCCUCAGAAUAAAAUCUACCUAUUUUUUUUAAACAAUUGUUAUAUAUUUUUUUUUUCUUUAAUAAUCUUAACAAAUCCAGUCCAGGUUACCACAGAGAACCAUUUUUUAAAAUCUAAAGACUUAAAUAGGAGGCAGCCGGGAAGGCCAUUACAUGGCUAGGCAAAUGCUUUUUACUGCUUAGCACCUUCCAUUCUGAGCACCACCCUUAGCAAUAAAACCCGUGUGUCCUUGACCCGUAUAAAGCAACUCCCCAUUCCCCCCACCCCUCGCCCAGCAGUGGAGUUUGUGUAAGCAAAUUCUUGUUUUUUGUUUUUUGUUUUUUUUUUUAAGCAAAUCCUUGUACUCCCCCUAGAGGUUAGAAUGGAUAUGGAACCAACUGUGUAUGGUGUCUUGUUGCUUUUAACUAAAGCUGGAAUUUCAUUUUCUGUCUCCAGGAAACUAGCAGAGGAUUAGAAAUGUCCUGCCUUUGAGCAGCUGUUUUCUCAGUUCUUGCUUAGAUGGGCCGUCAAACCCAUUUUUGAAGUAUGCUUUGAUGUUAUACCCAGGGAGCCAGCGACUCCAACAGAACUUUCUGUCAAGUAAAACAACAAAAAAGUGGUUCUCCAAAUGUAUUCUGUGUAGCACCUGCAGAAAAUAUCCUGCUGUGUUUGUUUGAAUAAAGAUUUCUGGACCCUGCCCCAGCACCUUGGGAGAGAUGCAAUUCUUACACAUAUUAAGGUGUGAGAACCACUUGAGGACAUUAUUCCAAUCCAUAUCUCAUUGAAAACUGCAAAGCAAUGAAUCAAGCUCAUUAGACAGGAUUUUAUCCACAAGCCCAAUAUACCUUCUAGUCAUUCUCCCUGAACAUAGAUGUUGCAUCCUGACCACAAACCUGACAAACACCCUUCUUUUUUCAAUCUAGAUCCUUGAAUAUGCUUUAAAAACUUGUCUUCCUUAUCUACCUUCUUUUAUUUUGUCUAGAUAGAAGUGUAUCAAGUGGGCUGCUUGAUCUAAUGUCAGUCUCUGAUUCUGGGAAGCCAAUGGGUCAAAAGGUGUAUGACAGCAUUCCCGACAUAAAUCCUUUCUUUCUUUUCUUUCUUUCUUUUCUUUUCUUUCUUUCUUUCUUUCCUUCUUUUUUUUUUUUUUUAAGAAAGUAUUUAUGCCAGGUAUGGUGUCAUACACCUUUUGAUCCCAGCAUUCCGAGGCAGAGGCUCGAGGAUAUCUGAGUUUGUGGCCAGCCUGGUAUACAGAGCAAGUUCCAGUACAGCCAGGACUACACAGAGAAAACCUGUCUCAAAACAAAACAAAUAAACAUUUUAAAGAUUUAUUUAUAUUUUAUUUUACAUGUAUGAGUGUUUUGCCUGUGUGUACGUCUGAGCACCAUGUGUGUGUGGUGCCCACAGGGUCAAGAGAGAGUGUCAGGUCCCUGGGCCUGGAGUUGCAAAUGGUGGUUAGCUGUCAUUUGGGUGCUAGGAAUAGAAACCAGGUCAUCUGCCAGAUCAGCCGUUGCUCUUAACUGCUGAACCAUUUCUCCCACCCUAACUACCCCUUCUUUAAAAGUAUGUAAAGUUGAACUAAUUGUACAUAAAGACCACCACUGAAUUUAAGUAUAAUUUCUCUUUGGAAGUAUGUUUAAACUGCCCAUUCAAAGAACGCAUCCCCAGACCUUUUGCUUUGGUAGUUUUGAUUGGUGUGAGAAACCUAUAUUUUAUCAAGCAUCCCAACUUGGUGAUUCUGAUACAGGUGGCCAGGAGAUUUUUGCAGGUCUUUGUUUUGUUUGAGGUAGGAUCCCAUGUAUCCGAGACUGGCUUUGAACUCAAGAAUGACCUUGAGUUAUGAUCCUCCUGCUUCUACUUCCUAAGUGCUGUAAUUCCAGGCUCACGCCACCACACCCAGUUUUAUUCGGGGAUGAGGAUGUAACCCAAGGCUUGGUACACAUCAGGCAAAUGGUCCUCCAAGUAAGCUCUAUUCCAGAUCUCUUCAAUGAUAUCUUAAUAACUACUGUCUUAUAUGUCAGACUUUCCUAACAAGCAUAAUGUUUCUAGAAUGCUGUACAACCAAAUCCACACAGAACUUACAAACUACAAGUAUUUGAAGUUAAUAUGAAGAAAGAUAGUAGAGUUAGAGUGAUAUAUAAGUAGAACAGAAGUUGUAAUUUCACACCUUUUCUCUCAGUAUUGUAUUUUUCUUUUUUAUUCUUUCAUAUAUUACAUCCUGAUGGUAAUUUCCCCUCCUCUCCAGUUCCUAUCCCCACCUCCUCCCUUCCCCAGAUCCACUCCUCCUUUUCCUUUCAGGAAAGAUCAGGCCUCCGAGAGAUACCAACAAAACAUGGCAUAUCAAGUUACAAUAAGACUAGGUACACAACCUCAGAUCAAGGCUGGACAAGGCAACCCAGUUGGAGAAAAAGGGUUCCCAAAGCUGGCAGAAGAGUCCGAGACAGAUCCUCGAUCACUGUUAGGAGUCCCACAUGAACAAUAAGCUACACAACCAUAACAUAUGCAGAGGACCUAGGUCAGACCCAUACAGGCUUCCUCAUUACCAAUUCAGUCUCUGUGAGCCCCUAUGAGCCCUGGUUAGUUGAUUUUGUGGGCUGUGUUCUGGUGGUGUCCUUGACUCCUCCUGACUCCUAUGACCCUUUCUUCCUCU